GGGAACCAGUCUAGCUAAACAGCCAGUGGGUGCUUCCGGGCUGUGUGGAUUGUGCUAACUGCAGGUCUGUGAAGACCUGGGGCCUUUCUCUUUCAACACCAGCUAGAAAGCUGCUGCAUCCAGCUCUCCAGUUGGAAACCUGGCUCUGAUACCAGAUGUAAAAGGAUGCUGGCUCUGAUACCAGAUGUAAAAGAUGUUGACUAGUUACCGUGAAAUAUACAUGGAAGACUAUAUGUGAGAGGAUAUUGUGACUGUACAUAAGUCUAUAGAAAUCAUGACAGAAGUUCCAGAGGAAAUAAACCCCCAGCAAUGUGGAGAGCGGAAGCAGCUUUAUCAUCACAUAGAAGUUAUUAACAUGUUUGGAAGGCAGACCGUGAAAAGGUACACACUGACAGCUUAUGGUAUAAAACUCCAGCAGUCAUUGGCUAUCUGAAAAAGUUAUUUAUAUUUCAUGAAAUGUCUGGAAGAUCUGUGAAGUACAAGUGGAAGAUAGGGAAAGUUCAGUCCAAGAAGAUGUGAAGCUGGGCUAGAAAAUCUCUAAAGCUCCCCCAAGCACCCAAAUUCAAGGACUCUUUGCUGUGAUUGGAG
RNAcentral lists this long non-coding RNA (588 nucleotides) under Heterocephalus glaber (naked mole-rat). RNAcentral describes it as "lncRNA (ENSHGLG00100039358.1)". The record is from RNAcentral. Lineage: Eukaryota; Metazoa; Chordata; Mammalia; Rodentia; Bathyergidae.